This 509-nucleotide ribosomal RNA is filed under the name uncultured bacterium. RNAcentral's name for it is "bacterial SSU rRNA". It matches the Rfam family "Bacterial small subunit ribosomal RNA", at positions 28 to 523 of the family's 1533-position model. The record is from RNAcentral.
GACGAACGCUGGCGGUGUGCUUAACACAUGCAAGUGGUGCGACGAACCAGAGCUUGCUCUGGGGCAAAGCCGCGAACGGGUGAGUAACACGUGGGUAAUCUACCCCGAUGACCGGGACAACCCGAGGAAACUCGGGCUAAUACCGGAUGUGGUACGGAGACAUAAGUCUCUUUACUAAAGGUAGCUUCGGCUUCCGCAUUGGGAGGGGCCCGCGGCCCAUUAGCUAGUUGGUGGGGUCAAGGCCUACCAAGGCAACGAUGGGUAGCUGGUCUGAGAGGACGAUCAGCCACACUGGGACUGAGACACGGCCCAGACUCCUACGGGAGGCAGCAGUGGGGAAUCUUGCGCAAUGCGCGAAAGCGUGACGCAGCAACACCGCGUGAGGGAAGACGGCCUUAGGGUUGUAAACCUCUUUCAGAUGGGACGAAGGUGAUGCGGUGAAUAGCCGAUGUCAUUGACGGUACCGUCAGAAGAAGCUCCGGCUAACUACGUGCCAGCAGCCGCGGUAA